AUUGAACGCUGGCGGCAGGCUUAACACAUGCAAGUCGAGCGGGGUGAUGGUGCUUGCACUAUCACUUAGCGGCGGACGGGUGAGUAAUGCUUAGGAACCUGCCUACUAGUGGGGGACAACAUCUCGAAAGGGAUGCUAAUACCGCAUACGUCCUACGGGAGAAAGCAGGGGAUCACUUGUGACCUUGCGCUAAUAGAUGAGCCUAAGUCGGAUUAGCUAGUUGGUGGGGUAAAGGCCUACCAAGGCGACAAUCUGUAGCGGGUCUGAGAGGAUGAUCCGCCACACUGGGACUGAGACACGGCCCAGACUCCUACGAGAGGCAGCAGUGGGGAAUAUUGGACAAUGGGGGGAACCCUGGUCCAGCCAUGCCGCGUGUGUGAAGAAGGCCUUAUGGUUGUAGAGCACUUUAAGCGAGGAGGAGGCUCUUUUGGUUAAUACCCAAGAUGAGUGACGUUACUCGCAGAAUAAGCACCGGCUAACUCUGUGCCAGCCGCCGCAGUAA
RNAcentral lists this ribosomal RNA (502 nucleotides) under uncultured bacterium. RNAcentral describes it as "partial 16S ribosomal RNA". It matches the Rfam family "Bacterial small subunit ribosomal RNA", at positions 30 to 523 of the family's 1533-position model. The record is from RNAcentral.